AGUGAACGCUGGCGGUAGGCCUAACACAUGCAAGUCGAACGGCAGCACAGUAAGAGCUUGCUCUUACGGGUGGCGAGUGGCGGACGGGUGAGGAAUACAUCGGAAUCUACUUUUUCGUGGGGGAUAACGUAGGGAAACUUACGCUAAUACCGCAUACGACCUACGGGUGAAAGCAGGGGAUCUUCGGACCUUGCGCGAUUGAAUGAGCCGAUGUCGGAUUAGCUAGUUGGCGGGGUAAAGGCCCACCAAGGCGACGAUCCGUAGCUGGUCCGAGAGGAUGAUCAGCCACACUGGAACUGAGACACGGUCCAGACUCCUACGGGAGGCAGCAGUGGGGAAUAUUGGACAAUGGGCGCAAGCCUGAUCCAGCCAUACCGCGUGGGUGAAGAAGGCCUUCGGGUUGUAAAGCCCUUUUGUUGGGAAAGAAAAGCAGCAGGUUAAUACCCCGCUGUUCUGACGGUACCCAAAGAAUAAGCACCGGCUAACUUCGUGC
Molecule: ribosomal RNA, 493 nt
Filed under: uncultured bacterium
Lineage: Bacteria
Description: partial 16S ribosomal RNA
Rfam family: Bacterial small subunit ribosomal RNA
Source: RNAcentral